Scylla paramamosain (green mud crab) is the source of this 2524-nucleotide long non-coding RNA. RefSeq lists it as uncharacterized. The transcript has 2 exons. Lineage: Eukaryota; Metazoa; Arthropoda; Malacostraca; Decapoda; Portunidae. The record is from RefSeq and is a predicted model, not a curated record.
GUGCCGUGACGUCGGAACUUCCUUACCAGACGGUCUGACGCCGUCAAGGUCUGCCCUGAGUAGCCAACUGUAACCUGGAGAGGGACGGAGAAGAGGACUAUUCUUCCCCUCAUUGCAGAAGAAAUUACACUCACACCUUAGAGAUGCAUGCUCUUCUAAUUCUCUUCACUCUGCAUGCCACCACUGCUAUGGAGCCAGCACACCUUAAACCGGGAGCCCUCGCUGCUCAUCUUGGCCGAGUUGCCCUGGUCGAGGAUGUACUCUGGGUGCGGUAUCCUUACGCAAGUUUGGUGAAAAUUCCUGGCAAACUAAAAAGUAUAGUGGAGUGUCUGAAUGAAGCCCUACAGCGGCUACAGGAGGUUCUUCCGAAGGAUUCACCACUUUCGAAUGAGUUGUUACCCCUUCUGUACAGUAGGAUUAAAUAUAUAAACGACACGGUUACCCUGGCCUUGGAAAACUAUGAUGGAAUUCAUAAUAGUAAUCGCAAGAAACGAGGUCUUAUCGACGGUAUCGGUCAAUUAUCUCGCAUGCUCUUUGGUACCGCAAUGAAUGAAGAUAUAGAAAAGCUAAGAGAACAGUAUAAUCAACUAACCUAUGUAGCUUCAGCCAACAACAAAGCUAUUCACUUACAUAACAGAAACAUUGCCAAGCUGGAACAGUAUAUAAAUGAUCUAGGCAGGCAUGCUGAACUCCUAAGAAUUCAGCUUAACGAAGCUUUAAAUAAUAUAAAGAAUUUACAAGCUUUUGCAGUCAUUCGUGAAGCAUUAUCAGCGCUUGAAAGUACAGCAGCUUCUCUUUUGCAUACGAAUGAACACCUAAUAAGAAAUGUAGUAGACGCAGCUCGUGGAAGGGUCACUUCAUCUUUGUUUCCCGUGAAGGAUUUUCUUCAUGCUUUGGCAGUGGGAAAAACAGAUUAUAACUUGAAACCCCUGUUUGAUGUAUAUGGAAUUCAUCAUUAUUAUCCACUACUGGAAUCAGUGCUGACGUCUGAAUCCAUUGUUAUUCAUGUUCCAUUCAGAUCAGAACAUAUCUUUGAGGUUCAUCGAGUGGAGCCAUUCCCAUUUCAGGUGAAUGGAACUGUCAUGACACUUGAUCAACCCAGUUCAGUAGUAUUGAUCAAUAAGGACCUUACGAUGUACGCUACAGGUAAAUUGUCAGAUUUAGACAGAUGCCAAACUGAGUAUCUUCACUUAUAUUUUUGUCCAGCAUCUCUCUUUGCCUUCUUGCCUGUUACUAGUGGCGGAAUUUGCGAAGUAGUGCUUACUCAAGAAGAUGCUUCCAAGUCCCUUACCUUAUGUCCGUACAAACAUUUGGUCCCUAAACCUUUCUUUCACACAAGUUUCUAUGGACACCACUAUUUCUUUUUCACACAAGCUUACUAUGUGUCUGUGGUUUGUCCUGAUGGUUCUGAAUAUAAGGAAGUUUCAGGUCAUUUUGCAAUCUUAAAUGCAUGUUCCUUGCGAUCUGACAAACUGAACACUUUCCCUGAAAAAUUACAUGAAGGUUUUGUGUCUAAUCUUACCUCCAGAAUCGUUCUUAUUGAUACUUUGAGUAAAGUAAAUCUUGCAAAUAUCAAAUUUGUGACCAAUACCUUAUCUGAGUUUAAUUUCUCUAAUCUCUCAGAACUAGAAAAUGCGGUUCAUGACUCUUUACCAGUGUAUCUUAGUCCCUAUGUGCAUUUUCCUACAAUCAUCAUACCCAUCAUUAUCUCACUUGUCCUACUGAUUCCUUUGUACUGCUGUGUUCGAAAAGCCCUGGAGUUGUAUAAUUACCUCAGUGGAAGAAUCAAGCACAAUAACAUGAGUCAGUAAUACACAUGACAAUGACAUGGGUAGGUACAUACAUAUAGGUUUGUCGUACGGCACGAGGACGCGCCGGGUAGGUGUGCCGAGCGAUGUUAGCACAUAGUGUAGGGAACCAUUGUAACUGUAGGUUCGAACCUUCUAGAAGCAUAAGUGGAAAUUUCCUAUUCUGACGCCCGCUGGGAGUAGUGUCUAAUUACUGUUUCUUCUCCUAGUUUACUGGUAAAUAUUAAGAUAGGAAUAACUAUUAUAUGCAAUAAUAAAAUAAUAAUUAAUAACUGUAAAUGUUAAACUAUAUAAAUAGGCAAUAGGUAGAUAGAAUAACUCAUAUGUGAAAUAUGAUCCUGUGAAACCUAUCACCUACGAUGUCACGUGAUCACAAGCGCCGCACCUUGAGGAACGCCGCAUUGCCCCGGGCAGUUGGGUGGAGAGCUCCGAUCUGGCCAGCUGGGUGUGCGCGGUGCGCUGUGUCCUGUGUGCGUGUGAACUCUGCCACGAACAAUUGCACUAAGACUACACCCUGAGUCUUUCCCACAAGUGUGUACCUUUGGUGUAUAAGGCAGGGAAAUAAGUGCAAGUGACAGUGUAUAAGUGACUUUAUUGUGGUGACAAGAACAGUGACAGACAGACUACAUAUCCUUGUGCUGAGAUUCAGUUUCUUGGGCUCAGUACUUAAGUGGUAUUGUAUGUAAACUGUAAAUAUAUAUCUACAAACUCAAAAA